RNAcentral lists this non-coding RNA (368 nucleotides) under Apopellia endiviifolia. Lineage: Eukaryota; Viridiplantae; Streptophyta; Jungermanniopsida; Pelliales; Pelliaceae. The record is from RNAcentral.
UUACGCCUAGUCAGUCAGUGUGACCCACAGCGCAGUUUGUCCAUCCACCGGUAAAGAUGAUGGGUUCUGUUGCCCAAUCUCUUCAUCUUGCCGUAAAGAUGAUGGGUUUUGUUGCGCUGCUCGUUGUUCCUCACCUAAAGAUGAUGGGUUUUCUUGUGUAGUUUACUCACCUCUGCAUUUACAAAGAUGCGUGUCUGAGCUUUGUUUCAUAGUAUGGCCGUUUCUAUUGGUAAAGAUGAGUAUGAUUUCGCUCGAUCUCUUCCUCCUCUUGUAAUUGAAGAGUAAUUUUGUUGACAUGUCAAAGCACAUUGAUGAGCCUCGAUUUAAGGAGUGCAUAAAGCAGUAAAACUACCUUCCAUCACAGAUGC